GUGCUCACUUGGGCAGCACGUGUACUAAAAUUGGAACGAUGCAGACAUUAGCACGGCCCCUGCACAAGGAUGACAGGCGAAUUCAUGAAGCCAUCAGGCACAAG
Small nuclear RNA from Ursus americanus (American black bear), 104 nucleotides. NCBI's taxonomy places the organism in Eukaryota, Metazoa, Chordata, Mammalia, Carnivora, Ursidae. The record is from Ensembl.